UACGUAGGGGGCAAGCGUUAUCCGGAUUUACUGGGUGUAAAGGGAGCGUAGACGGUGAUGCAAGUCAGAAGUGAAAGCCCGGGGCUCAACUCCGGGACUGCUUUUGAAACUGUGUGACUGGAGUGCAGGAGAGGUAAGCGGAAUUCCUGGUGUAGCGGUGAAAUGCGUAGAUAUCGGGAAGAACACCAAUGGCGAAGGCAGGUCUCUGGGCCGUUACUGACGCUGAGGAGCGAAAGCGUGGGGAGCGAACAGG
This 253-nucleotide ribosomal RNA is filed under the name uncultured Lachnospiraceae bacterium. RNAcentral's name for it is "partial 16S ribosomal RNA". It matches the Rfam family "Bacterial small subunit ribosomal RNA", at positions 524 to 776 of the family's 1533-position model. Lineage: Bacteria; Bacillati; Bacillota; Clostridia; Lachnospirales; Lachnospiraceae. The record is from RNAcentral.